GCAGUCGAGCGAGCUUGCCUAGAUGAAUUUGGUGCUUGCACCAAAUGAAACUAGAUACAAGCGAGCGGCGGACGGGUGAGUAACACGUGGGUAACCUGCCCAAGAGACUGGGAUAACACCUGGAAACAGAUGCUAAUACCGGAUAACAACACUAGACGCAUGUCUAGAGUUUAAAAGAUGGUUCUGCUAUCACUCUUGGAUGGACCUGCGGUGCAUUAGCUAGUUGGUAAGGUAACGGCUUACCAAGGCAAUGAUGCAUAGCCGAGUUGAGAGACUGAUCGGCCACAUUGGGACUGAGACACGGCCCAAACUCCUACGGGAGGCAGCAGUAGGGAAUCUUCCACAAUGGACGCAAGUCUGAUGGAGCAACGCCGCGUGAGUGAAGAAGGGUUUCGGCUCGUAAAGCUCUGUUGGUAGUGAAGAAAGAUAGAGGUAGUAACUGGCCUUUAUUUGACGGUAAUUACUUAGAAAGUCACGGCUAACUACGUGCCAGCAGCCGCGGUAAUACGUAGGUGGCAAGCGUUGUCCGGAUUUAUUGGGCGUAAAGCGAGUGCAGGCGGUUCAAUAAGUCUGAUGUGAAAGCCUUCGGCUCAACCGGAGAAUUGCAUCAGAAACUGUUGAACUUGAGUGCAGAAGAGGAGAGUGGAACUCCAUGUGUAGCGGUGGA
RNAcentral lists this ribosomal RNA (667 nucleotides) under Lactobacillus gasseri. RNAcentral describes it as "bacterial SSU rRNA". It matches the Rfam family "Bacterial small subunit ribosomal RNA", at positions 57 to 685 of the family's 1533-position model. The record is from RNAcentral. Lineage: Bacteria; Bacillati; Bacillota; Bacilli; Lactobacillales; Lactobacillaceae.